RNAcentral lists this long non-coding RNA (783 nucleotides) under Sorghum bicolor (sorghum). RNAcentral's name for it is "long non-coding RNA (SBIC_LNC009386)". The record is from RNAcentral. Lineage: Eukaryota; Viridiplantae; Streptophyta; Magnoliopsida; Poales; Poaceae.
CCGCUCCCGAGGAAGGGGUGCCUUGGCCGAUGAGUGCAAAGGCGGCGGCACCGGUGGACCUGGCUUAUGGCGCGAGCUCUCUUGGCGGCCUGGCCUGGGGGCACGACAUUGGCUGAUGUCCUCUUCGAUUCUCUCUGAUUUUAUGAUUCGAAUUUUUCUCCAAUUUCCUCUUCCAUCGAUUCGUGUAUGGAUGUAGAAGGUAUUGAUUUUGGUGCUUGCUGUUGAGGUCAGCAGACCGGCGUUAAUUUUGUGCUCGACGUUUUAUCUAUAUAUAUGGUUGAUGUCCUUUUUUUGUACGAGUUUUCAUAUCAUGAUAUUUGACUUUGUUUUGGACUCGAUGUAGAAUCUGGAUUGGUUUGGUUCGUUGCUGGGUAUGUGUCAUGCCCGAGUUGGAUACCAGAUAGCUAUGAUCUUUAGUUUGCUGUGGCCUCGAAUCAAUUGGAUAUGUGGAGGGAUUUGGUCUUUCAGAGGAUGCUUUCGGACUACAGAGGGGGAUUAGUCAGGAGGCCAGACGAAAUUAGAUCCAGACGAAAUAAUUUUGUCUCUUUAAGAAUUGUAAUAUAUACAGACAGAGAUAUUAUAUAUAUCUAUAUGGACAUGUCGGACGGAACGGUCCGGCAGACUGAAAUUUUCAUCUUUAAAUAUUAGGGAUCAGAUAAGAUCUUGAAGUCAUUUAUUUGCUAAAAGGUUGUCUUAAAAUUGUAAAAAACAAGGAUCAUGUUACGUGAAAGCACACAAGCCUCCGGCAACACGUCCCAUUUUUUUGAGUUUAUUCAAAUCUGC